RNAcentral lists this ribosomal RNA (826 nucleotides) under Centrorhynchus conspectus. Its description in RNAcentral is "SSU rRNA". It matches the Rfam family "Eukaryotic small subunit ribosomal RNA", at positions 738 to 1600 of the family's 1831-position model. Lineage: Eukaryota; Metazoa; Acanthocephala; Palaeacanthocephala; Polymorphida; Centrorhynchidae. The record is from RNAcentral.
GUGAAGAGCCACUGUCACUUUGAGAAACUCAGUGUGCUCAAUGCAGGCUAACUGCUCGAAUUACGCUGCAUGGGAUGAUGAAAUGGGGUCUCCGCUCCGUUUCGUUGGUUUACGAAAGCAGAGAACAUGAUUAAUCGGGACAGACGGGGGCAUUCGUAUUGCGGUGCUAGAAGUGAAAUUCUGUGACCAUCGCAAGACGAACAACUGCGAAAGCAUUUGCCAAGAAUGUUUUCGUUAAUCACGAACGAAAGUUAGAGGAUCGAAGACGAUUAGAUACCGUCCUAGUUCUAACGGUAAACUGUGCCGGCCAGGAAUUCGCCAACGCAAUAACUUGGCGAGCGCUUUCCGGGAAACCAAAGCUAUUUGGUUCCGGGGAGAGUAUGGUUGCAAAAUCGAAACUUAAAGGAAUUGACGGAGGGGCACACCAGGAGUGGAGCCUGCGGCUCAAUUUGACUCAACGCACGAAAGCUUACUCGGUCCGAACACUGUGAGGAUUGACAGGCUGAAAGCUCUUUCUUGAUUCAGUGGGUAGCGGUGCAUGGCCGUUCGUAGUCCGUGAAGCGAUUUGUCUGGUUGAUUCCGAUAACGAACGAGACUCGGCCUACUAAUUAAAGUAGCGAUCUGCCGUCGCUACAAUGAUUAUUAAAGGGACAGGUGCUUUCUAAGCACACGAAGUUGAGCAAUAACAGGUCUGUGAUGCCCUUCGAAGUUCGAGGCUGCACGCGCGCUACAAUGGCGGCCACAGAGCGCACAACGCUUCCUGUAACGGAUGCGGAAACGUCAAUGGCUUUCGUGACUGGGAUCAGGGACUGAAACUUUUAUUUGU